RNAcentral lists this ribosomal RNA (683 nucleotides) under Neoprotoparmelia isidiata. RNAcentral's name for it is "SSU rRNA". It matches the Rfam family "Bacterial small subunit ribosomal RNA", at positions 468 to 1210 of the family's 1533-position model. The record is from RNAcentral. Lineage: Eukaryota; Fungi; Ascomycota; Lecanoromycetes; Lecanorales; Parmeliaceae.
AAUGACAUUUUAUGCCUAUGUGUCUUGACCAAAUUACGUGCCAGCAGUCGCGGUAAUACGUAGAAGACUAGUGUUAUUCAUCUUUAAUUGGUUUAAAGGGUACCUAGACGGUAAAUCAAGCCUUAACACAAGGGACUAAUAUACUAGAGUUACAUGUGAGGGAGUUCUAAAGUACUGCUGGUGUAGAGAUGAAAUUCUGUCAUACCUUUAGCGAUUAAAAGCACGGCACAGGUAUAGGCGAAGGCAUCUCCUUAUGUGAUAACUGACGUUGAGGGACGAAGGCUUUUGUAGCGAACAGGAUUAGUUACCCCAGUAGUCCAAGCAGAAAAUGAUGAAUGUCAUAGAUUAGAUAAAAAGAUUUAUUCUAUAAAUGAAAGUGUAAGCAUUCCACCUCAAGAGUAAUUUGGCAACAUUGGAACUGAAAUCAUUAGACCGUUUCUGAAACCAGUAGUGAAGUAUGUUGUUUAAUUUGAUGAUCCGCAAAGAACCUUACCACAACUUGAAUAUUUAUAUUUUAAUAUAUUUACAAGCGUUGCACGGCUGUCUUCAGUUAAUGUCGUGAGACUUUGGUUAGUUCCAUUAAAUUAACGUAAACCCUUACUUUAUUUUUAUAUAAAGUGGUUCCCCGCUAUAUUGGAUAUGAUAACAGGGACUAAGACAAGUCAUCAUGGCCUAAAUAUUGU